GUUUUGGUGUGAUUUUUUUCUCUUUUUGGUGUCACUGUUAAGGUAAAAAUGGCUCCUUUUGAUUAGGAAAUAAAGAGGUCCAACGUGGGAGUCCCUUGUGACUAUUUUUAUGUAAUUAUCGGUUUGUUGUAGAUAUGCUUGCUAUGGGAAUGGUGUGUUCGAAGUGGGAGGACGAACCUCUUACUGUUGGAGUCAUUAUAUCUCCAGUACCAGCAGCGUGAAUACACUUGAUACCUGGUCAUAUCAUGACUUCCCUCUUUGAGCUAUCCAGAGAAUCUCAAAGUUCUGGUUUUGCUUUUUUUUUUUUUUCUUUUUUUCUUUUUCUUUUUCCCAGGAUUUAAGCUAAAUGGACACUUAUUUGUUUUGCGGAUGUGUGGCAUUUGCUUUGCUUUGCUGUUUCUGGCAAGUGCCUGGGCAUGAGACACGACACAUCAAUGCCUGUGUUGUGUAUUCUCAUCCCUCAGCUUUUUAUUCAUGUUUUCCUUCCCAGAAGCUCAGAGAAAAAAUAAAAGCAGCUUUUAAUGGCUGGUCAGCUUUCAAUCUCGAUCUCUCCACUUUAAAAGCUUUGGGAAAAAAACAGAAUAGCUUUUAAUGAAAUAGCAGCUACUGGAACACCAGUAGCUCUCUUUCCUCCCAGAGAUGCAACAGGGAAUAUAAUUUAAUUUGAUUAAUUCAUAGCCUGUAUGUCCUCUUUCCUAUUUUUAUAUGUACAUAUUUUUCCCUUUUCUAUCCCCCUUACUUUCUUUUGGCACUUGCAUUUAUCAGCUAUUUGAGAACAAUUCCAAUGCUUUUAGCAGGAAGCGGUGAGCAGCAAGAGAACUACCAGAACAUUGGUACCUUGACUUCUGAUGUGUGAUGGAGGGAAACGUUUGGAUCUUCUCAGGAGGAUGCAAAUGAAAGCAUGAAGACUUCAGACAUCACAGAGGCUCAGAAAAAACUCAGAAAAAGACAGAGAAUGAGAGAACAGAAGAAGUUGAAGCAGCAGAAUCUUCUUCUAUGAGAUAUUCUUUUUGAAAUUUAUGCAAAGAGAAUGCAGCUUUGUAAAGGGAGCUGAGCAUAAUCCCAAACACUGAUGAGAAUGCUUGGACAAUGAAGAGGCAGCAGUUAUUGGCCAAGGUGCAGGUGUUCCAAUUCUGCGGCAGAUGAUUUUGUAUCUCCAUUUGCUCAAUUUGUUAAUGCAAAAGACCCUGACUUUCAAAAGGCAAACUACCUCGGCAUGGCUCCAGCAACGUCUUCCUUUAUAAUUCAAGAUCUGUGUGCUGAAAAAGCUUUCUUGCUCUUGAGCAAUGCCUGAAAAUAGUAGAAAGCAGAUGGUGCUUCCUCACUCUCCGUUAGAAAUGAACAGAAACAGAGGAGCAUUCUGGCUGUUUUUGGUUUUCACUUAGGCGCUGGCAUGACUGUGGAAAUCUGACUGAGCUCCUUAGUUGACUUAAUAUGGGUAAACUUGAAAUUAAGCCUUCAGACAAGCUCACUUGUAUUGCUGAGAGGGAAGACAUUAAUUAAAAGCAUCCAAGGUUUCUUUCUUUUCUGUUUUCCCAUCCAGAAAUAAUCAGAUGGUGCUGAUUUAACUGUGAGAGCAUGUAAGGGUGGAUUAAAAGAUCAGUUCAGUGAACAAGGUCUCCAUUACUUUCAGUGUGUCCUCUAGAGCUGGAUACAACACAUCUCAUGUCACAUCCUUUUCCCUCUCCAUUCACACUAUACCCUCA
Molecule: long non-coding RNA, 1706 nt
Organism: Gallus gallus (chicken)
Lineage: Eukaryota; Metazoa; Chordata; Aves; Galliformes; Phasianidae
Exons: 3
Source: RefSeq, a predicted model, not a curated record